AAUCAGACAAGGGGACUGUGAUGGGUGGUGUGUGACAGUAGUGCUGCACAGAUUAUGGAGAACCAAAUUCUGUUCCCUGUUAUCACACCAAUUUGACAUCCGGUGGGAGGAACAGAGGAGAUCCUGAAGAGUGAGGUGGAGGAGGAAGCAAGUAUGGAUCUCCAUGACAGAAACAGUGGGGAUAGUGAUGUUUUGCCCAGCUAGAGGGGAAAAACCAAGAAAGGCCAGAACAUUAAGCUUCAAAUUACCUUGUUGAUUAGGCCACGAAGAGCCACAAACUUCAUUGUGGAUGUCAGGCUACCCACACUUCAGCGGUCAUCAACUCUCUUCAUGUCCAGGACACGGAUGACCCCAGGCAGUAUG
Long non-coding RNA from Pseudophryne corroboree (corroboree frog), 363 nucleotides. RefSeq lists it as uncharacterized. The transcript is spliced from 3 exons. NCBI's taxonomy places the organism in Eukaryota, Metazoa, Chordata, Amphibia, Anura, Myobatrachidae. The record is from RefSeq and is a predicted model, not a curated record.